This 497-nucleotide ribosomal RNA is filed under the name uncultured bacterium. RNAcentral describes it as "partial 16S ribosomal RNA". It matches the Rfam family "Bacterial small subunit ribosomal RNA", at positions 28 to 507 of the family's 1533-position model. The record is from RNAcentral.
GAUGAACGCUGGCGGCGUGCCUAAUACGUGCAAGUCGAGCGAACAGACGAGGAGCUUGCUCCUCUGACGUUAGCGGCGGACGGGUGAGUAACACGUGGAUAACCUACCUAUAAGACUGGGAUAACUUCGGGAAACCGGAGCUAAUACCGGAUAAUAUAUUGAACCGCAUGGUUCAAUAGUGAAAGACGGUUUUGCUGUCACUUAUAGAUGGAUCCGCGCCGCAUUAGCUAGUUGGUAAGGUAACGGCUUACCAAGGCAACGAUGCGUAGCCGACCUGAGAGGGUGAUCGGCCACACUGGAACUGAGACACGGUCCAGACUCCUACGGGAGGCAGCAGUAGGGAAUUUUCCGCAAUGGGCGAAAGCCUGACGGAGCAACGCCGCGUGAGUGAUGAAGGUCUUCGGAUCGUAAAGCUCUGUUAUUAGGGAAGAACAAAUGUGUAAGUAACUAUGCACGUCUUGACGGUACCUAAUCAGAAAGCCACGGCUAACUACGUG